This 4708-nucleotide long non-coding RNA is filed under the name Nicotiana tabacum (common tobacco). RNAcentral describes it as "long non-coding RNA (NTAB_LNC008370)". The record is from RNAcentral. Lineage: Eukaryota; Viridiplantae; Streptophyta; Magnoliopsida; Solanales; Solanaceae.
AGUUUAACUACGAAGGGUAUUUUAUUAUCUAUGGGCAUUUUGUUAUGUGUGAGACAGCUGGCUUCACCACAUCUUUCUUCGAGAUAGUUCCACUCUGAUUUUCUUCGUUCCAUUCUUACCCAUUCCUUCUCCCAUGUCUGAUGUCUCCUCCAAGCUCUCUCCUCUAGGCAGGCUAAAAGCACAAAUUUUUCUGAAGUUUGGUUCUCUACUAUUGUCGAUGAUGAAUCGAUUGUGGCUGUGCAUUAACUGAAGCUCGGUAUGCCAUCUCCAUCCUUUUUCUCUUCUUAUCUCUCUCAAAUUUUCCGCACACUUUUCUUAUUUCAGUGUUAAGUUUUUCUUAGUUGUCCUUUGUGUAAUAUUUUCUUUGCUCAUGUGGUUUCAUUUCUGAUUUUGCUUCAAUAUUUCACGAUUUUGUUUCCAGUUUGUUUACUCUCCAAAAAGGUAAAAUCUCUCUUCUUUCUCCAUCCGGGUCUCUUUGUAAAAUUGUAUUUGAUUCGUAUUUGACUUUUCUCCUGCUGGGAAUUGAUAACAUGGUUAUAUUUUAUUUAAAUUAUGCAUUUGAAAAAAAUUGAGUUUUGCGUCCUAGGUGUUCUCAAAAUCAGACAAACCAGAGAAGACAAUAGGAUAAUUGCAAGGUUUUGAAAUGGAGAAUCCAACUUUGAUUUCCUCCUACCGUAAUAUCGGAAGCUAUUAAAAUCCUUUUUCGUUUUGGGGAUUUGGCUAUAAAAUAAUUUUGUAUUGUUCGUUAUUGCAUGUUUAAAUUAGCUCUCGAUUGUUAUUUUUUUCUUUUUCAUCUUCGAUAAAAUCUAUUACUCAGUCUUAUUUUAUUAAUUCGUCUGAUUGAAUGAAUGCCAACUUUUGUCCUUCGAAGUUUUUUGUUUUGCAUGUUUUGGGUUAUAGUGUGUGAGCUCUCAAUUGGGUUUGUUGUGAAACGCUUUUUCUUUUUCAACUAUGUUAUUUUUUGUUUAUUACUUUUUCUUGAUUUGCUAAAGGGUGGGCAUGCUCGACUGAAAGGAGAGGAAAGCUUCUUCACUUUCGGCAUGUAGCAAUAGACAAGUGAGAAUUUCAAUCAGAAGAGCAAAGUAUUGUGUCGAAUGUAGUCAACAAAUGGGGUUGGCACUUAAGGUACUUUUUGAUCUAAUCUUAGUCUUAUUGAUACUAAAUUUUAGCAGAAUCUUCUCUUCUUACCAAAAUAGUGCUUUAAUCAUGAACUGCUAUUGUUUGAUGUUGAUCUUCAACCAGCCUUUGGCUCAACAACUGGGAAGAUACGGGUGAACAAGGAGAAAAAUAUUAUCCUUUACUGCAGAGGAGAUUUAUGAUAUAACUUUAAUCUAGGUACAAAUUCUUGCUGUAAAUAAAAUUCAAACUAACAACAUCUAAUGGUUAUGCUAUCAUUAAAGUUAACAAAUUUCUACAUGUUUACCACAAGAUUGAACUUGCAAAAAAGUUUCUUUUCCAAAGGAGUCCCGGCCAAUACUAAAUAUUCAAAGUUGGCUUACUCAUGAACUGCUCAAAACCUAAGCUAAAUAAUUAUUUGCGCGAACAUCUGGAAUAAUGUAUAUUCUGUCAUGUGUUGAAUUGAAACAUUCUUCAUUCUCUCACAGCACCAACCUCAACUGACAUUGGCGAAGGCAGCAAAAGAAAGAACCCUUUAGUUGUGACGAUGAAGAAAAUCUUUUGUUGCUCGAAUGAAAAAGUAGAAUUACCGACUGGACAAGGUAAAUCAUUGAAGAUGAAAACAGAACUGGAUCCAACGAUGGAAUGAACUAGUUACCAAUAAAUUGCCGUUUGUUACUCUUUCUAUAAAUAAAUAUAUUUUACAGCUUUUUCUCAAUCGCUCUGUUAUGUGAUAUUACGUAUAAGAUGCAACUCUUCACAUUAGUAUCAUAGAAACUUCUAGGUUUAAGUGGCUUUGACGUAUUGUCUUGUUUGUAAAAAUAUUUGCAGGUAAAGCAAAUCUCUGUUGCAGCUCACUUUUGGCUUUUUGGCUUGUACAUACUGCUGAGCUAUAACUUAAGGUAAAUAUUUUGCUUAUUUGCUAAUCUCUGUUUUCAAACUUAGUGCAUAAUCUCUAUCGCCGUCCUUUAUUUGUUGGGGAGAUUCUGAAAUACUAAAAAAGUGCAACUCUUUCAUAUAGAUAAAAUUUUAAGACUGCCCUUGAAACAUACUUGUUUAGCAAUGGUGUAAAAAGAAUGCGAUAAAAUUGCAUGAUUUCUAUUCCGAUAUAGGUUAUCGGAUAAUCUUGAGUUAUCCUUCUGGUUAGGGGGGAACUGCUGGUGCUACUAAUUUUCUUUUUUUAAUAAGGUAAUGUAUUAUUAGCAAGAAUGUACCAAGAAGGUACACAAGAGUACAAACAGAGCAGACAUCACCUACGAAUAAUCCCCUAUUACGUAUUUCGUAGCAGAUUCAAAAAUUCUAAGUACUGAUCCUUACUAUCUGAUAAACACGUAUUACAGUAGAAACAUAGAUCACGCAGUCAUAAGUUCUUAGUUCUAGAAAUGUGACACCGUUUAUUCUCAAAACGAGCACUAUUUCUUUCACUCUAAAUGAUCCGGAUGCACAAAGGGGUGGUCCUCCCAAGCUGUUUUUGGAACGUUGCCAUCGUUUGUUUCUGCCAGCUAUCCAUUAGGUUCCUGAUAUAUGAAGGCAUAGUUAUAGUGACACCACAAAGAUUCAGAAAGAGCGCCCAACAUUGCUUAGCAACUUUGCAGUGAACAAAAAGAUGGUUAACUGAUUCCAAAGAUAGGAGGGGCCGUUGAUUGAACGGGAAAUGACCUAUUCUGCUUGAAGGAUCUAUUUUCUCCUAAGUUCCUUUCAAUUUAGAUGCCUAAAAUUUAUACCGUGGUCUCAUUUGAAGAGGAAGAUUUAUUGUACUAGAAUAGAAGGACAUCAGUUUCUUCCCAAAAUUUUACAUAUUCCUAAUUGCUCAAGAUUAUGAUUUAUCCUAUCUUGAAGAGGACAUCAUAGGAAGAAAUGGUACCUUCUUUUCAAUGCAAAAUCUGAUUGUACGUGCGUACAUCUUGUUAUAGCCUUUACUGUGGUCAUUUCUGGUACUGCUAUAGUUUAUGGGAUACCAAUUGUAUUGGGAUUCAUUAGCCCAUCAUCAUCAUCAUGUUUUGCUGAUACUGUUAGCGUUCUCAUAGGACAUUUAAACAGAAGAAACUCACUUUUGUGUGGAGAAUGCAGCUGAGAAAGACUCAACUUUAGUCAUUUAUAUGGACAUGUCAACUCUUACCUUUCGUGCCUCAGAGUUGAUCCAUCAUGAGUUGCCGCAUAAUACGUCAGCUAUUGUCAUCCAGUGAAUAGACCAAACAUCAAGCCAAACGUCAAAAAUACACAGUAAGUAAAGUAGAACAACUUCUCAUUCUUACAUUUGUUUGUUAGAUGUCUAUACUGCUGCCUUUCUGUGCUACAUUUAGGACAACAAUCAUUUAUUUUAACAAUUGCAAAGAUGAGAUUCAUAUAUGCAAUUCUUUCGGUAAAUUUAUGUGCUGGCAUUUACAGAUUUAUUAUUGCAUUAAUUUGUGGAAUAAACUUUUAGAUAUCUGAUAGUUUCUUUUCUGAAAAUUAUAAAUUAUUUUAUUACUCGGCACCGAGUCACACUUGUAUCCCUUCAUUUGGUAACUUUAUUUAAGUAUCGUUGGUGCUCCUAAAUUGGAUUUCUCUGUUCAAGGAAUUAAUUGUUAUUUUGUUUCAUUUAUUCCUGAUGUGCUUAUCAAGGUUAUGUAUUGUUGGAAGCUUAUAUGUUCCUUCUUAUUUUGUAUUCUCAUGAGUAGUAUUGAAACACGAUAUGUAGAAACAUAUGGCUCCUGUAGUAAAUCAGUACUCGAGAAGUAAACAUAAAGAGGAUCAUGCAAAAAAGAAUCUUGCUUUGGCCAUACUAUUUAGAUGGAUAAAUUGCCUCGAUUGCAUCUUCUUAUUUCAUAAUAAAUCAGAAUCUAUUGUAAUUGUAGGAUAUCUACCCUCUCUGAAGAGGUAAAAAAUAAGUAGUGUUCCUCUUCGUUUGUUUAUUGUAUUACUAAUAAAAAUAUAAAAGGAAAAUGAAAAAUUCAAUUUAUUAAUGUGCUAUGGAUAUAGCUGAUAUCUCAUAUUUCAAAUUUUAACAGGUAAAUGAGCAACAUAAUAGAUAGUCUGCAGCUUUUAUCACACUGCAGUAAGAUUAGUGGCUACUUUUUCAACUCUGGCUUACUAUAGUAGCUAUCAGCAUUGUUACUCAAAUUUAAUUUGAACUUGUAUAAUUUCUGUAUAAGCUACCUUAGUGAAUUCUAACGUGAUUCUCUUUGUUAGGGCAGAACUGAGGAAUCAGAGAACCCAAGAGAUGAUGCUUCAAGGAAAUUGCGUGAAAGAGACUGGAAAACAUCUGUUGAAAACAAUUGCACAUGUCUAUUUUGACUGAAACUUCAUUCGUUGACUAUGAUUUAUAAUGUAACUUCUUGUGAUUCUUGAGAACAAAUACGAGGGAGCCAACAUUUUUUAGUAGUACAAAGUCAUGGCAAUACAGUAGAUGGCAGUCAAUCAGGAUAUGUAAGUCUGUUUAUGGCGUAAAGUGUAAACAAGGGUGGAAUACAUGUGUUUCUUUGAUACGUGACUCUUCGGCCCGUGCUCUCAUCUAGUAUAUAAUAAGUGAAGGUUAUGAGAUACGACGAAGGGCAUUUUUGUAAUUUAUGUUGCUUUCAUUUGUAAACACGUGUUAUUGUUUGUUUCUUGC